Molecule: ribosomal RNA, 471 nt
Filed under: uncultured bacterium
Lineage: Bacteria
Description: bacterial SSU rRNA
Rfam family: Bacterial small subunit ribosomal RNA
Source: RNAcentral
AGGACGACGCUGGCGGCGUGCCUAACACAUGCAAGUCGAACGGAGAUUAAUGGAGCUUGCUCUAUUGAUCUUAGUGGCGGACGGGUGAGUAACGCGUGAGCAAUCUGCCUUUAAGAGGGGGAUAACGUUUGGAAACAAACGCUAAUACCGCAUAACGUAUCGGAGCGGCAUCGCACUGAUAUCAAAGGAGCAAUCCGCUUAAAGAUGAGCUUGCGUCUGAUUAGCUAGUUGGUGAGGUAACGGCCCACCAAGGCGACGAUCAGUAGCCGGACUGAGAGGUUGAACGGCCACAUUGGGACUGAGACACGGCCCAGACUCCUACGGGAGGCAGCAGUGGGGGAUAUUGGUCAAUGGGGGAAACCCUGAACCAGCAACGCCGCGUGAAGGAAGAAGGCCUUCGGGUUGUAAACUUUUGUCUUCAGGGAAGAAAAAAUGACGGUACCUGAGGAGGAAGCCACGGCUAACUACGUG